UGGGGAAUUUUGGACAAUGGGGGAAACCCUGAUCCAGCCAUCCCGCGUGUGCGAUGAAGGCCUUCGGGUUGUAAAGCACUUUUGGCAGGAAAGAAACGUCAUGGGUUAAUACCCCGUGAAACUGCCGUUACCUGCAGAAUAAGCACCGGCUAACUACGUGCCAGCAGCCGCGGUAAUACGUAGGGUGCAAGCGUUAAUCGUAAUUACUGGGCGUAACGCGUGCGCAGGCGGUUCGGAAAGCAAGAUGUGAAAUCCCAGAGCUCAACUUUGGAACUGCAUUUAUAACUACCGGGCUAGAGUGUGUCAGAGGGAGGUGGAAUUCCGAGUGUAGCAGUGAAAUGCGUAGAUAUGCGGAGGAACACCGAUGGCGAAGGCAGCCUCCGGGGAUAACACUGACGCUAAUGCAAGAAAGCGUGGGGAGCAAACAGG
This 429-nucleotide ribosomal RNA is filed under the name Acidobacteriota bacterium. RNAcentral's name for it is "Acidobacteria bacterium partial 16S ribosomal RNA". It matches the Rfam family "Bacterial small subunit ribosomal RNA", at positions 355 to 776 of the family's 1533-position model. The record is from RNAcentral. Lineage: Bacteria; Pseudomonadati; Acidobacteriota.